UACGUAGGGUGCGAGCGUUGUCCGGAAUUAUUGGGCGUAAAGAGCUCGUAGGCGGCCUGUCGCGUCGGAUGUGAAAGCCCGGGGCUUAACCCCGGGUCUGCAUUCGAUACGGGCAGGCUAGAGUGUGGUAGGGGAGAUCGGAAUUCCUGGUGUAGCGGUGAAAUGCGCAGAUAUCAGGAGGAACACCAAUGGCGAAGGCAGAUCUCUGGGCCGUAACUGACGCUGAGGAGCGAAAGCAUGGGGAGCGAACAGG
Molecule: ribosomal RNA, 253 nt
Filed under: uncultured bacterium
Lineage: Bacteria
Description: partial 16S ribosomal RNA
Rfam family: Bacterial small subunit ribosomal RNA
Source: RNAcentral